RNAcentral lists this ribosomal RNA (253 nucleotides) under uncultured bacterium. Its description in RNAcentral is "partial 16S ribosomal RNA". It matches the Rfam family "Bacterial small subunit ribosomal RNA", at positions 524 to 776 of the family's 1533-position model. The record is from RNAcentral.
UACGUAGGGGGCGAGCGUUGUCCGGAGUUACUGGGCGUAAAGGGCACGCAGGCGGUCUCGUAAGUUCGGAGUGACAGUCGUCGGCUUAACUGACGAAGGGCUUGGAAGACUGAGAGACUUGAGGGCUCAAGAGGGACAUGGAAUUCCGGGUGUAGUGGUGAAAUGCGUAGAUAUCCGGAGGAACACCAAAGGCGAAGGCAAUGUCCUGGGGAGUCACUGACGCUCAGGUGCGAAAGCCAGGGGAGCGAACGGG